This 282-nucleotide unclassified non-coding RNA is filed under the name Hevea brasiliensis (rubber tree). Lineage: Eukaryota; Viridiplantae; Streptophyta; Magnoliopsida; Malpighiales; Euphorbiaceae. The record is from RNAcentral.
GUUGGAUAGUGAGGUUAUUUCAUGGAGCCCAUAUUUAUAAGCCUGAUAGACAAGGUAUUUGCACCUCAAGGUUCCAUCAAGACAAAGGUUGAAUGUGUUGAGUUCCAAAUUAUAAUUAGAAAAACUACUGAUGAUUAAAAUUUAUACAUAUUCCUGGAAAUGAAGCAGAAGACGAAGAAAAAGGCCCUCAUGAAUUUUAUCAAAGAUCAUGGAAUUGUUAACAAAUGGUCAAUGGACAAAAGCAAAAGAGAAGCACCAACCUCUGGUUGUUUUCAACAUCCA